RNAcentral lists this transfer RNA (90 nucleotides) under Synechococcaceae bacterium WB6_1A_059. RNAcentral describes it as "tRNA-Ser". It matches the Rfam family "tRNA". From Rfam's summary of the family: Transfer RNA (tRNA) molecules are approximately 80 nucleotides in length. The record is from RNAcentral. Lineage: Bacteria; Bacillati; Cyanobacteriota; Cyanophyceae; Synechococcales; Synechococcaceae.
GGAGAGGUGGCUGAGCGGUUGAAAGCGGCUCCCUGCUAAGGAGUUACAGGGGGUAACUCUUGUCGAGGGUUCGAAUCCCCUCCCUCUCCG